AGUGAACGCUGGCGGUAGGCCUAACACAUGCAAGUCGAACGGCAGCACAGUAAGAGCUUGCUCUUACGGGUGGCGAGUGGCGGACGGGUGAGGAAUACAUCGGAAUCUACUUUCUCGUGGGGGAUAACGUAGGGAAACUUACGCUAAUACCGCAUACGACCUACGGGUGAAAGCAGGGGAUCUUCGGACCUUGCGCGAUUGAAUGAGCCGAUGUCGGAUUAGCUAGUUGGCGGGGUAAAGGCCCACCAAGGCGACGAUCCGUAGCUGGUCUGAGAGGAUGAUCAGCCACACUGGAACUGAGACACGGUCCAGACUCCUACGGGAGGCAGCAGUGGGGAAUAUUGGACAAUGGGCGCAAGCCUGAUCCAGCCAUACCGCGUGGGUGAAGAAGGCCUUCGGGUUGUAAAGCCCUUUUGUUGGGAAAGAAAAGCAGCAGGUUAAUACCCCGCUGUUCUGACGGUACCCAAAGAAUAAGCACCGGCUAACUUCGU
RNAcentral lists this ribosomal RNA (491 nucleotides) under uncultured bacterium. Its description in RNAcentral is "partial 16S ribosomal RNA". It matches the Rfam family "Bacterial small subunit ribosomal RNA", at positions 29 to 506 of the family's 1533-position model. The record is from RNAcentral.